RNAcentral lists this ribosomal RNA (963 nucleotides) under Gomphroa boissii. Its description in RNAcentral is "Hypnophila boissii partial 16S ribosomal RNA". The stretch from base 409 to 687 matches the Rfam family "Archaeal large subunit ribosomal RNA", at positions 1787 to 2143 of the family's 2987-position model. The record is from RNAcentral. Lineage: Eukaryota; Metazoa; Mollusca; Gastropoda; Stylommatophora; Azecidae.
UAGUAAUAAAAUGUUAUUAAUAUUAAUUAUCCCGAAAUAAAUAAGAUCUAAUUAAUAAAAUUAAGUUUUCUGUUAGGAAAUUAAGUAAAUUAAUUUAUACUGUAGCACAAGUAUACCAAAAACUAUAAUUAGAGAUGAAAUGUCUAUCAAUUUUUAUGAUAUCUGGAUGAAAACAAAAUAUAUUUAGUAUAAUAUCUACAAUUUUAAGGUUUUUAGAUCUUUAAAAUUAGAAUAUAAGUGAUUUAUUUAGUUAAGAUUUAUAUGAAAUAAAUAUUUCAUAAUAUUACAAUAAUUUUACUAUCUAUUUAUUAAUAUUUAACAUAUAUUUCAAUAAUUUAGUUUUCAAAUAUCUAUAAUAAUUUAAUUUAAAAUUUAUAAUGUUUAAAUUAGUAUAAUUAAAUAUUAAUAUAAAUUCUUAAAAAAGAACUCGGCAAAAUAAAAUACAUUUAGAAUAAGUUCUUGUCUGUUUAUCAAAAACAUAGCCUAAAGCAGUUCUAAAUUAUAAUAUUUAUUUUAGGUGACCCCUGCCCGCUGAAUAUAAUUAUUUAAAUGGCCGCAGUACUUUGACUGUGCUAAGGUAGCAUAAUAAUUUGUCUUUUAAUUGGAGACUUGCAUGAAUGGAAUUACAUAGGACUAGCUGUUUCUUUAAGAAUUUAUAAAAUUUACUUAAUGAGUGAAAAUUCUCAUAAAAAAUAAUAUGAAAGACGAGAAGACCCUUAGAAUUUUUCUAUAAUUAAUUAAAUAUUAAAUAAUUUAUUUUAUUAUAUAAUUUAUAUAUAGUUUAGUUGGGGCAACUAGUAUUCAUAUAAAAUAAUACUAAAUUACUUUACCUACAUAUCAAUAUUUAUAAUAAAUGAAUAAAUUACCUUAGGGAUAACAGCAUAAUUAAUUUAUUUAGUUUGUGACCUCGAUGUUGGACUAGGUAUAUUAUAUAAUUAACCAUUAUAAUAAUUUGUUCUGUNC